AGUUUUCGGACAACUGAUUCAGAGGACAGUGGCGGACGGGUGAGUAACGCGUGAGGAACCUGCCUUUCAGAGGGGGACAACAGUUGGAAACGACUGCUAAUACCGCAUAACGCGUAGAGGUCGCAUGGCCUUUACGCCAAAGAUUUAUCGCUGAAAGAUGGCCUCGCGUCUGAUUAGCUAGUUGGUGAGGUAACGGCCCACCAAGGCGACGAUCAGUAGCCGGACUGAGAGGUUGAACGGCCACAUUGGGACUGAGAUACGGCCCAGACUCC
This 272-nucleotide ribosomal RNA is filed under the name uncultured Oscillibacter sp. RNAcentral's name for it is "partial 16S ribosomal RNA". It matches the Rfam family "Bacterial small subunit ribosomal RNA", at positions 67 to 339 of the family's 1533-position model. Lineage: Bacteria; Bacillati; Bacillota; Clostridia; Eubacteriales; Oscillospiraceae. The record is from RNAcentral.